GAUGAAGAACGUAGCGAAAUGCGAUACUUGGUGUGAAUUGCAGAAUCCCGUGAACCAUCGAGUCUUUGAACGCAAGUUGCGCCCGAAGCCAUUAGGCCGAGGGCACGCCUGCCUGGGCGUCACACGUCGUUGCCCCCCCAUCUACUCCUUCGGGAUUGCGGGGGGCGGAUGAUGGCCUCCCGUGCGCCUCGUCGCGCGGUUGGCCUAAAUGCCAAGUCCUCGGCGACGCACGCCACGACAAUCGGUGGUUGCGAAACCUCGGUUGCCCGUCGUGUGCGGUCGUCGCGCAUCGAGGGCUCGAAAAAAUUGCCGGGCUUCGGCUCGACUUUCAACGCGACCCCAGGUCAGGCGGGGUUACCCGCUGAAUUAAAGCAUAUCAAUAAGCGGAGGA
Molecule: unclassified non-coding RNA, 391 nt
Filed under: soil metagenome
Description: partial contains 5.8S ribosomal RNA, internal transcribed spacer 2, and large subunit ribosomal RNA
Rfam family: 5.8S ribosomal RNA (bases 1-122)
Source: RNAcentral